UGCGAUGAGGAUGAGAUUCACAUUAUGAUCUCGUUAAUCCGAUGGUUCUCUGUGAGGACAAUCUCUCUAUCCAUUCAUUCAUUUCAUUGAGC
This is a small nucleolar RNA of Rhodamnia argentea, 92 nucleotides long. RefSeq annotates it as small nucleolar RNA U30. Lineage: Eukaryota; Viridiplantae; Streptophyta; Magnoliopsida; Myrtales; Myrtaceae. The transcript has a single exon. The record is from RefSeq and is a predicted model, not a curated record.